Molecule: ribosomal RNA, 253 nt
Filed under: uncultured bacterium
Lineage: Bacteria
Description: partial 16S ribosomal RNA
Rfam family: Bacterial small subunit ribosomal RNA
Source: RNAcentral
UACGUAGGGGGCGAGCGUUGUCCGGAAUUAUUGGGCGUAAAGCGCGUGCAGGCGGUUUUUUAAGUCUGUGGUGAAAGACCGGGGCUCAACCCCGGAGUGUCCAUGGAGACUGGAAGACUGGAGUGUCGGAGAGGAGUGCGGAAUCCCUGGUGUAGCGGUGGAAUGCGUAGAGAUCAGGGGGAACACCGAUGGCGAAGGCAGCACUCUGGCCGAAUACUGACGCUGAGACGCGAAAGCGUGGGGAGCGAACGGG